UUUCCGUAGGUGAACCUGCGGAAGGAUCAUUACUGAGUGAGGGCCCCUCGGGGUCCAACCUCCCACCCGUGUUUAACGAACCUUGUUGCUUCGGCGGGCCCGCCUCACGGCCGCCGGGGGGCAUCUGCCCCCGGGCCCGCGCCCGCCGAAGCCACCUGUGAACGCUGUCUGAAGUAUGCAUUCUGAGACAAUUAUUAAAUUAAUUAAAACUUUCAACAACGGAUCUCUUGGUUCCG
Molecule: unclassified non-coding RNA, 236 nt
Filed under: plant metagenome
Description: partial contains small subunit ribosomal RNA, internal transcribed spacer 1, and 5.8S ribosomal RNA
Source: RNAcentral